Cebus imitator (Panamanian white-faced capuchin) is the source of this 873-nucleotide long non-coding RNA. RefSeq lists it as uncharacterized. The transcript is spliced from 4 exons. NCBI's taxonomy places the organism in Eukaryota, Metazoa, Chordata, Mammalia, Primates, Cebidae. The record is from RefSeq and is a predicted model, not a curated record.
AGGGCGCGCUGCUGGAGUCGCCUUUCCCAGAAAUCGGGCAGAGAUUUAGGCCUUACAGUUACUUAAACUUGUAGCCCUCCCAGUAGCUGUGGAGUCUAGUAAACGUGGGUUCUGCCGGGUUCACCAGUCAUCCCAGGCUGUUGAGGGGCCGGUAGGGGGCCCGUGGGCCAGAGGAGACUCCAGGCUUCUCUCCCACUCGUCUCUGGCCUGCACCCCCUCUCGGGUAGAGGCUGCACCUCCUGCUUGGGUUCAGCCAUCUCCAAAUAUUGCAUCAACAUCCCGUGCCUCUGCCUGCGGGGCUGGGCCAGCACCAGAGACUCAGGCGAAGCGCCAACCGCCCAGGGGCAGCAGCUGGCGAGUUGAGGCAGAGCUGCCAGAACCUCACCACCGCUAAGAUUGCUACCUGGAGAUUCCUGCUUGCCCCCAACCCCAGAUCAUUGCUGCCACUCUGAAUCUAACAACCCUGCUGACAAAAAUUUCAUAGCUGUCCUUUGAAAAACUUUACAAGGCAACCUCCCUUUAAUUGACUCCUUAUGACCCACUCCCCCCGCCAGUGUGAUCCUCGAGCCCACUGUGACCCCCGCUUUGAAGAGCCUGUUGGUCCAGUCCUUCCCGCUUUCUGCAGAGCUGUUCUCCUCCUUCUAAAGAAGUCACCUGGGCCCUGGGCCCCGUCUUCCUGGCUCCACAGAGUCCCUGUGGCUGUAGGCACUGCUUCUCUCUCCUGCACUCAACCCCUCUCCCACUCCACUGCCUCUGGGUGUGCAAAAACACUGAUGUGUCCCAUAUUUUCAAAAUCUCUCCCCUGUAGUUCCCACCUGACUUCCAAUAGGUGGCCAAAGUACAGACAUUAAUGUAUAUUAAGGCACACAAUUA